UUCGUAGGCGGUGCGGCAAGUUGGGAGUGAAAUCUCUGGGCUUAACUCAGAGGCUGCUUUCAAAACUGCCGUGCUCGAGUGCGGGGGAGGCCAGUGGAAUUGCAGGUGUAGCGGUGAAAUGCGUAGAUAUCUGCAGGAACACCCGUGGCGAAGGCGGCUGGCUGGACCGCAACUGACGCUGAGGAACGAAAGCUAGGGGAGCAAACAGGAUUAGAUACCCUGGUAGUCCUAGCCCUAAACCAUCAGGACUUGGGGUGGCCCGCGUAGGCGGGUCGUCUCGUAGCUAACGCGUUAAGUCCUGCGCCUGGGGAGUACGGUCGCAAGACUGAA
This 330-nucleotide ribosomal RNA is filed under the name uncultured bacterium. Its description in RNAcentral is "bacterial SSU rRNA". It matches the Rfam family "Bacterial small subunit ribosomal RNA", at positions 568 to 898 of the family's 1533-position model. The record is from RNAcentral.